Long non-coding RNA from Solea solea (common sole), 845 nucleotides. RefSeq lists it as uncharacterized. The record is from RefSeq and is a predicted model, not a curated record. NCBI's taxonomy places the organism in Eukaryota, Metazoa, Chordata, Actinopteri, Pleuronectiformes, Soleidae. The transcript is spliced from 2 exons.
CUCUCUUUGCUGCUCUGUUGAUUCACUUUGCCUCGUUGAGCCUGAAGGAGGCGACGCGUCCUCUUUACGGCUCUUUACGCUCAAACUAAACCAAACGCUCACUUUGCUAAAUGUUUGCGAAGGACGGAAAAACCCAGACUUAGCUGGUGAUAUAUGCUAAUGAGUUCCUGGAGAAUCUGCGAGAAAGUGAAAGUCAAGGCAUCGUCUGAUGUGCAAACGUUGUGGAGGUGAACACACACAAGGAAAAUAGAAGGGAUGAAUUGUUAAAAUGCCUCCAGCCUGAAGGUGAACCAGUGAACUAAUCAUGGACACGAGUCACUUUCUCAGGGAAAACCCUUGAGCCGCACAGGAUUUCCAUGAGCUGCCGAAAAGGUCACGUAAGUAGUUCUCCAGUCAUUAGCAAACGAUGGCAUUCAUUUCAUAGAAAAUGUCAAAGAUUAUGAGUUUAAGUUUUUUUCCAUUGAGGCCGAGAAGGCAGAGGAGAGGAGAGGAGAGGAGAAGAGGGGAGGAAAGAGCGAGAGAGCAGAGGAAAUAACAGGCCUGAAGCAGAGCGAGCGGAGGAAGAGGACUGGACGUAGUUUUGCCCGUUGGUGAAGUUAUGGUUGAAUUUGACUGAAAAUGUGUCACGUUUAUUUAAUAUCAACCAUCAUCUGAUGGAGGAAAUGAUUAUUUUAAGGAUUAAAGAUCAAUCUGAAGUUUCUAUAAUGAGCAGGUUCUCAGUGAACUUUGGUAAGAAUCCACCAUCUGAUGUUGAACAGAAUUUGGUACGUGUAUGUUUGUGGUCAUGAUUUUGUCUCGGUCUUGGCCCCUGAAAUUUAACUUCACAUAAAAGUUCUUGCUCUUGA